This 216-nucleotide long non-coding RNA is filed under the name Homo sapiens (human). Its description in RNAcentral is "HSALNT0405550". The record is from RNAcentral. Lineage: Eukaryota; Metazoa; Chordata; Mammalia; Primates; Hominidae.
CUGAUUCUAUAGCCAUUUUAUAAGCCUUGGUGAUUGCUCCUUAGACCUUUCAUGGUUGGAAAAACAGUGUUAUUAGGGUAAACCAGAGUUGUGCUAAACAGCAGCUGCCAUCAUGGUACACACAGAGACAAAGGUUAUGAAGCCUUACCCUUGAAUACAAACUUCCUCCUUUGUUGUGUUCAAACCAGCAUGAUUACAAAGUUUAAGUAUUGUCUU